Molecule: long non-coding RNA, 1043 nt
Filed under: Canis lupus familiaris (dog)
Lineage: Eukaryota; Metazoa; Chordata; Mammalia; Carnivora; Canidae
Description: lncRNA (ENSCAFG00000051589.1)
Source: RNAcentral
UCCGCUGGCUCCUCCAACUUGUGCGCGCCGCCUCGGUGGCGGCCGUUCUGGGCCCGCGGCGCGCUGGGCUGGGGCGGAGGGCGCCGCGCGAGCAGGUGCGGGGCUCACCGGCGCAGGUGAAAGCCCCGACAGGCCGCCCGGGUCUCUAAGCCUUUCAUCCUCGCGCGCGCCCCUCUUCCCUGCUUGGCGCCGCCCGGCAGGCGCGGGGAGGGGGCCCCUCGGAGGCUCGCUCCGGUCGGUCCCUUGCACGGGGAAAAGGCAUCUAUCUGCCCACCUGCUGGUUAUUCGCCAAGUGAUUCGAGAAACCAGAACCCCGGGGUGGGGGGUGGGGGGGGGAGGAGGAGGAGGAGAAAAAAAAAAAAAACACAACAACAACAACGGAGGAGGCGGCCACAGCGGCCACAGGUGCAGGUAGGAACUUGGCGUUCCCGCCCUCCAGGGGACGAGAUUGGAUCAGGUCGCGGACGUGGCGCCCGCCUUGGGGUGUCUGAUUGGAGGGACGCUGCGCGGCGCCGCUCGCCCGUCCGACUCCUCCAAGAAGAAGAAACGCUGGAGACCGCAGGCGGGGAGACGGAAGCUGUAGGAAUAAAUGAAUGAUCUAGAGGACACGACAUCUUGAAACAAGGAAGACUCCACAGCACAUCCUGACUCAGGAAAUAAAAAAGGUAAUUCAACUUUAUUGUUUGUUAGAAAAUCAUUGAUGUAAAUAAAAAUCAUGUGUUACCAUCCACGAUAAUGUUCUCUGGCUGGUCACCUGUUUCCAGGUCAGGGCUGGGGUAAACCAGCUCCCCUAAAAGGUGACCUGCUAUCGGCUGUUGUUAAUUUCUCUUUUCAAGGGGUUGGUUUGGUUAUGCUCCAUUUGCCAGGUUACAUUUUCUCUUUUGUGGUUUGUCUGUGGGUCAGCUCAUUACGUCACACAUACAGGUAGAAGGUGAAUAUGCGAUGGAAGGGUAACAUGACGCAGGAGGUAAGUCUUUUGGUUUCCCCAUCUGCAUCGAGGCCAAUGUCAAACUUACAUAGUUAGAAAGAAACAGCUAAGAAAC